UUAACCGAAACCAAAAAGAGGUAUGUCACUGUUAAUGACAAAAUUGAAAAAUUUUCCGAUUAAA
Molecule: transfer RNA, 64 nt
Filed under: Trigonopterus sp. 1 AH-2016
Lineage: Eukaryota; Metazoa; Arthropoda; Insecta; Coleoptera; Curculionidae
Description: tRNA-Asn
Source: RNAcentral